GACAAAAAGUUACUUGAAAGUAACUUUACUUUAAGUUUAGCCAAGCAUACUCUUAUGGCAGGAAAAAUAAAUAAAUAAACAAUUGAUCCAAAUGCAUUUGGAAAUAAAAAGUUACUUUCAAAGUGGACAAUACUGUUGUUUUCUAAAUCUUUUUGAUAUAUGCUCAAAUCUUAUUGGACACUAUUUAUUUCCACUUAAUUUGGUUUCAAUAGGAGGGAGGACUCUAAGACACAUGAUUACUAUUUAUUUUAAGAUAAAAGCGAGCAAUUUGUUUAUGUUAUGUUUGUUCCUGAAGUAGGAACUGGUCCAUUUGUUCCUCAGUAGCUCUUUUCACAAAGGCUUAGGCUUCCUCGGUAAAGUCUAAGUAGAAGACAUGAUUUCUUGGAACUGAUGUUUACUAGUUUUAAGUAUGUUGAGCAAGUCAUGUUCUCUUAUUUUCUAGCUUAACCAAACAGUGUUCCAUGAUGGAUUUAGUAGUGCAGCCUCUCUGUGCGAGAGGUGAAAUCCAAUCUUAUGUUUUGCUUGCUGAUUUGGUUUUUUGAUGUGGACUACCAGUUAUCCUCCCCCACGCGAGAAAUGUGCUGGUCCUUCGUGUACAAAUGCAUACAAGUAUCGAGAUUCUGAGUCGAACCUCCCUCUUUGCAGCCUUCAGUGCUACAAGGCAAUACACGAGAAGACACGACCUCUGUCUGCUUGUUGAUUUUCUCCUGAUUCUAAUACGAGCACCUGCAGCGAGUUCUUGUUUCUGGGGUAAUGGAUAGAGACCUUGAUGGGUAUGAUGUAGGUGUUAGAGACUAUAAUAUUUCGAGUUCAGGCAAAGAGAGUAAGAAACCCAGACCAGAUAGAAUAUCCGAAGACACUGACUAUGCAGAAGAUGAAGAGUCGGUAUCUGAUGGUGAGCUAGAAACCAAGAAUAAGAAACAAUUAAAGGAGUCAUUUGAAGUCUCGGUAUCCUCUAAGGGGGAAAGGGCAAUAACUACACGCCGGCAGGCCCUUCAAAAGGGUAGAGACAUCUCCAUGAGUUUGGAUGCGAAUUUUAUUGAGUUUCCAAACGGGUUACCUCCCGCCCCUCCAAGAAGUGAGCAUUCCUUCCUGUUGAACUCAUUAAAUGACACUGGGUCCAUAGAUUUCUGAGUCCACUUCUUGCUUAUGAUAACGUGGUUGGUUUGGUCCACAGAGCAAAAGGAGAAACUUUCUGAAAUGGAACAUCAACUUAAAAGAGCUGAGGCUGCUCAAAGGCGUAGGAUUCAAAAUGAGAAGGCUGCUCGUGAGUCUGAGGUUUGUACUUUCCAUUUACUCCAUAUUCUCGUUUGUUUACUUUUAUAUGUAUUUUGUGACAAUUUUUACCUUAAAGAAUCUAUGUUUAAAUUUACUGAAGGAUGGAUUAUAUGAUGAUAUGAUUUACUGAUUAGCAUUCCUGGAAUUGACAGGCCGAAGCAAUUAGGAAAAUCCUGGGUCAAGAUUCCAGUAGAAAACGACGAGAAGAGAAAAUUAAGAAACGGAAAGAGCAGUUAGCACAGGUGACAAGAUGUACAUAGAUACCAUAUUUCAUAUGGCACAGUAGAUUUUCCUUUUGUUUACCCUAGUCAUGUAAAAUAAUGUAGGAGAGGGCUGCCAAUGCUACUGUUGCAUCAAAUGUUGUUAGAUGGGUCAUGGGUCCUUCAGGGACAACUGUGACAUUUCCCGACGAUAUUGGCCUCCCAAGUAUAUUUGAAUCCAAGCAUUCCAGGUAAUAGAGCAAUAUAGAGUGAAUGAUUCAUAUGUAUUAUACAGUGGCAUGAUCUGGCACACUAUUAUUAUCUAGAGCAUGUUUCACUCAGCUUAAAAUGUUCAUUUAUAAGUAAAUAAACUUUAGAAUAUGAUAUUUUUAUAAUAUGAAAUCAAAAAUAAGUUAAAUUGACAAGAAGGUAAAAAUUACUUAAAAAUAAGUAACUUUUUUUUUAUAGUGAGCUUGUUUGGCUAAGCUUAAAAGUUUACUUAUAAGUAAACAAGUAAUUUAAAAUACAUAAUUUGUUUUAUUGGCGAAAGUUAGAAACAAAAGUUACUUAUUUUAACACCGAGUAAAAUUUACUUUCAAAAAUGUAAUUUUUUUUCUUUAAUUGACGAGCAUGUUUUGGGACAAAAAGUUACUUGAAAGUAACUUUACUUUAAGUUUAGCCAAGCAUACUCUUAUGGCAGGAAAAAUAAAUAAAUAAACAAUUGAUCCAAAUGCAUUUGGAAAUAAAAAGUUACUUUCAAAGUGGACAAUACUGUUGUUUUCUAAAUCUUUUUGAUAUAUGCUCAAAUCUUAUUGGACACUAUUUAUUUCCACUUAAUUUGGUUUCAAUAGGAGGGAGGACUCUAAGACACAUGAUUACUAUUUAUUUUAAGAUAAAAGCGAGCAAUUUGUUUAUGUUAUGUUUGUUCCUGAAGUAGGAACUGGUCCAUUUGUUCCUCAGUAGCUCUUUUCACAAAGGCUUAGGCUUCCUCGGUAAAGUCUAAGUAGAAGACAUGAUUUCUUGGAACUGAUGUUUACUAGUUUUAAGUAUGUUGAGCAAGUCAUGUUCUCUUAUUUUCUAGCUUAACCAAACAGUGUUCCAUGAUGGAUUUAGUAGUGCAGCCUCUCUGUGCGAGAGGUGAAAUCCAAUCUUAUGUUUUGCUUGCUGAUUUGGUUUUUUGAUGUGGACUACCAGUUAUCCUCCCCCACGCGAGAAAUGUGCUGGUCCUUCGUGUACAAAUGCAUACAAGUAUCGAGAUUCUGAGUCGAACCUCCCUCUUUGCAGCCUUCAGUGCUACAAGGCAAUACACGAGAAGACACGACCUCUGUCUGCUUGUUGAUUUUCUCCUGAUUCUAAUACGAGCACCUGCAGCGAGUUCUUGUUGGCCUUGGUGUGUAAAAGGUCAAUGGAUGAGACAUGUUUUUACUAUGUAAUAAUGCUUUUUUAAUGUAGCAGUAGCAGUAGC
RNAcentral lists this long non-coding RNA (2943 nucleotides) under Olea europaea (common olive). RNAcentral describes it as "long non-coding RNA (OEUR_LNC001179)". The record is from RNAcentral. Lineage: Eukaryota; Viridiplantae; Streptophyta; Magnoliopsida; Lamiales; Oleaceae.